UAGAUUGAGGAAGGGGCUGAGUGGUAGGCAGUGCCGCUGUGCUUUGAUGAAGACCCAUGUGGCUGGCAACAGCUCUUACCUUUUGUCUCUGGGUCC
Chlorocebus sabaeus (green monkey) is the source of this 96-nucleotide microRNA precursor. Lineage: Eukaryota; Metazoa; Chordata; Mammalia; Primates; Cercopithecidae. The record is from Ensembl.